Molecule: ribosomal RNA, 216 nt
Filed under: Campeiostachys nutans
Lineage: Eukaryota; Viridiplantae; Streptophyta; Magnoliopsida; Poales; Poaceae
Description: Elymus nutans partial small subunit ribosomal RNA
Rfam family: Eukaryotic small subunit ribosomal RNA (bases 38-216)
Source: RNAcentral
GGAUCAAUUUGCUGGUCGUGCCUCUGGUACGUACUGGUAUUAUUGGUUUCUCCCUUCUGACGAACCAUGAUGUCAUUAAUUUGGUGUCUUGGGGAAUCAGGACUGUUACUUUGAAAAAAUUAGAGUGUUUAAAGCAGGCUCACGCUUGAAUACAUUAGCAUGGAAUAAUGAAAUAGGACGUUUGAUUCUAUUUUGUUGGUUUCUAGAGUCGCCGUA